GAUGAACGCUGGCGGCGUGCCUAAUACAUGCAAGCCGAGCGAACGGACGAGAAGCUUGCUUCUCUGAUGUUAGCGGCGGACGGGUGAGUAACACGUGGAUAACCUACCUAUAAGACUGGGAUAACUUCGGGAAACCGUAGCUAAUACCGGAUAAUAUUUUGAACCGCAUGGUUCAAAAGUGAAAGACGGUCUUGCUGUCACUUAUAGAUGGAUCCGCGCUGCAUUAGCUAGUUGGUAAGGUAACGGCUUACCAAGGCAACGAUGCAUAGCCGACCUGAGAGGGUGAUCGGCCACACUGGAACUGAGACACGGUCCAGACUCCUACGGGGGGCAGCAGUAGGGAAUCUUCCGCAAUGGGCGAAAGCCUGACGGAGCAACGCCGCGUGAGUGAUGAAGGUCUUCGGAUCGUAAAACUCUGUUAUUAGGGAAGAACAUAUGUGUAAGUAACUGUGCACAUCUUGACGGUACCUAAUCAGAAAGCCACGGCUAACUACGUG
This 497-nucleotide ribosomal RNA is filed under the name uncultured bacterium. RNAcentral describes it as "partial 16S ribosomal RNA". It matches the Rfam family "Bacterial small subunit ribosomal RNA", at positions 28 to 507 of the family's 1533-position model. The record is from RNAcentral.